GAUGAACGCUGGCGGCGUGCCUAAUACAUGCAAGUCGAGCGAACGGACGAGGAGCUUGCUUUUCUGAUGUUAGCGGCGGACGGGUGAGUAACACGUGGAUAACCUACCUAUAAGACUGGGAUAACUUCGGGAAACCGGAGCUAAUACCGGAUAAUAUUUUGAACCGCAUGGUUCAAAAGUGAAAGACGGUCUUGCUGUCACUUAUAGAUGGAUCCGCGCUGCAUUAGCUAGUUGGUAAGGUAACGGCUUACCAAGGCAACGAUGCAUAGCCGACCUGAGAGGGUGAUCGGCCACACUGGAACUGAGACACGGUCCAGACUCCUACGGGAGGCAGCAGUAGGGAAUCUUCCGCAAUGGGCGAAAGCCUGACGGAGCAACGCCGCGUGAGUGAUGAAGGUCUUCGGAUCGUAAAACUCUGUUAUUAGGGAAGAACAUAUGUGUAAGUAACUGUGCACAUCUUGACGGUACCUAAUUAGAAAGCCACGGCUAACUACGUG
This 497-nucleotide ribosomal RNA is filed under the name uncultured bacterium. Its description in RNAcentral is "partial 16S ribosomal RNA". It matches the Rfam family "Bacterial small subunit ribosomal RNA", at positions 28 to 507 of the family's 1533-position model. The record is from RNAcentral.